ACGCCGUUUUCCUUCUUUUUUAACACAAAACGAGUUAUUUGCCUCAGGAAUGCGUUAUGCGUAUAAUACAUACAGUAGCCAUGCUGUUUUCCGUCGCCUACGGAAGCCAGCUGAGGCCAAAACACUGCAAACUCACCCGCGCACGCACGCGCAGUAUCGGAUGGGAUUACAGGUCGCCUUAUAUCACUUGUAAAUAUUCUACAAGUCUCAGUUCAGGUAGCACUCCGGCAUGAAAAAGCACGUUAAAUUCCUUGAAAACAGCGAUAAAAGUCGUCUGCACCACAAAAAGUCUCUUCUGCCUUUAAGGCCUUUUGGUCUCAACCAUGUGCAAGCUGGUAA
This is a long non-coding RNA of Puntigrus tetrazona (Sumatra barb), 339 nucleotides long. RefSeq lists it as uncharacterized. The transcript is spliced from 2 exons. Lineage: Eukaryota; Metazoa; Chordata; Actinopteri; Cypriniformes; Cyprinidae. The record is from RefSeq and is a predicted model, not a curated record.